GACCCGGUAGCUCAGUCUGGUAGAGCACCUGCCUUUUAAGCAGGGUGUCCUGGGUUCGAAUCCCAGCCGGGUCA
This 74-nucleotide transfer RNA is filed under the name Candidatus Uhrbacteria bacterium. RNAcentral's name for it is "tRNA-Lys". It matches the Rfam family "tRNA". From Rfam's summary of the family: Transfer RNA (tRNA) molecules are approximately 80 nucleotides in length. The record is from RNAcentral. Lineage: Bacteria; Candidatus Uhriibacteriota.